CCUACGGGAGGCAGCAGUGGGGAAUAUUGGACAAUGGGCGAAAGCCUGAUCCAGCCAUGCCGCGUGCGUGAAGAAGGUCUUCGGAUUGUAAAGCACUUUAAGUUGGGAGGAAGGGCAGUUACCUAAUACGUGAUUGUUUUGACGUUACCGACAGAAUAAGCACCGGCUAACUCUGUGCCAGCAGCCGCGGUAAU
This 194-nucleotide ribosomal RNA is filed under the name uncultured Pseudomonas sp. RNAcentral describes it as "partial 16S ribosomal RNA". It matches the Rfam family "Bacterial small subunit ribosomal RNA", at positions 338 to 524 of the family's 1533-position model. Lineage: Bacteria; Pseudomonadati; Pseudomonadota; Gammaproteobacteria; Pseudomonadales; Pseudomonadaceae. The record is from RNAcentral.